ACAUAGUAUAUGUAGGGUUCCAUACUAUCCAUGGUUUCAGGCAUCCGCUUAGGGGGCUUAGGACGUAUUUUCUGAGGAUAAGGGGGAGACUGCUGUAUUUCUUCCCUUUUUUGGGCGAGAACAUUUAAAUUCUGCUUUCAGCAAAUUUCAAGUAAUACAAUACAGUGUUAUCAACUAAAGUCACCAUGUUAUACAUCAGAUCCUCACACCUUAUUCAUCUUGUAGCAGAGUUUAUACCUUUUUAUCAAGGGUCCCUAUUUCCCCCCAACUCCUGGGAACCACUUUUCUACUCUUUAUAAACAAGAUCUUUACCAGACUAGAAUACCACUUUAUAAUGAAAUAGAGAAUGACUAUGAAAAUCAUGUGGUGUUUUCUUUCCUAUACUUGACGGCAACAAUGUUCGAUGGCUUUGUUUUCAUUACUUUGGCAGUUGUUGAACUUGAAGAUGUUAUGCAUUUUUUCCUUUGCAAAAUAGUGUCCCAAAUUUGUUGACCUUUUCCUUUUCCUUGGCUGUCCAUAGUUUUUCUGGUAGAUAUUUAAAGUACAAAAACAAACUCCAUAAUCUUCUUAUACAAUAAAGGUGAUAAAUUAAAAAAUGAAUAAGAAAUAACUCCUUUUGAAAAAAGCAUAGGCCAUAGAGUAUUUUGAAGAUUAAUGUUUGAAAAAUUCCCAUUGUUAAUAUGGUUUUGUUGCAAAAAAAGUAAAUAUUUCAUGCAUAACAAUUUUCAUUGGAAACUAGUGUGUUUAAAAAUAUUUUCAAAUGAUAUAUUUUAGAGUUUGAAGCAAUAUGUUUAAGUUUACACCAACGGAACAUUCAGUGAGUAAAUAUAGCAGGAUGAAAAUUUACCAACUCAUUUUUUUAAGUUUUUAUUUUAAUUCCAGUUUACUAGCUCAUUUUUAACAAAACUUCUGCCUAAACGGUAGGUAGCGUUGAGCAAUGACUGUCAGGACUUAGGACCAGCCAAGGACAAACUUUCCACCUGCCUCUGUGUGACAGCAUGCAGACCAAGGAUGUCCAUACAUAAGCCCACACCCAAAUCUUCUAAUCCUUUGUUUUCUUCCAAUAUAUAUAUUUUUUAUCAACAACCAAGAUAUUUUAUAAAAUUAGGGAAUUUUCAUUCAUAAUUGUGUUUAUAAAAACAUCUAGAAAAAUAACAAUUUUGAGGAGGAUAGUUUUAUACCUUCUAUUUUUAGCAUUUUUAUUGUAUACAACUUACUAUAGUGCUUGUGUGUGAUUAUACAUAAAUAUUAAUAAAAGGGGUGAUGUUUUUUUCUAAACCGAAGUGGUACAUGAUUUUCAGAGGUGGGAUUAAAAAUGUUUACAGUCCUGGCAACUGAAACCCAAAAAAGCAAAUUGAAUUGAUUCAGGGGUCUCAGACCAGAACUGGAACUUAGGUCUGUCUUUUCCUAUGUGGGUUUUUUUCCAUCUUACACCCUUUUAAUGUAUUUUUAUUGCCUUAGGUGAAGAGGAUUGUGUUGAAACACAUUUACAUCUGCUGGAGAAUUGGAGCAUGAGCGGUGGGACUCACUCUUUUGUUUGGUUAUGAUACAGCUGGUGGUAGAAACCUGAACUCUCAGAGAUACACAUCUCCAUAGGAAAAGCAGUGGGUGAUGGGAUAAAACACUAAGUCUCAAACCUGAGUUUCACUUUUUCCAUAAAGAACUGUAUUUUUUUGUCCCUUAACUCCUUGAUGGUUGGAUCCAAGUUUUCUAAUUAUUUUUGUGUCGCCUUCAUGGUGAUUAGCACUGGGUAUGAGGGCAUGAUGGUCUAAUGGUUAAGAAAAUAGUGACUGUUGAGAGUCACAGGGUCUGUGGUAUGGCUGUCUACUAGAGGUAUAAACUUGACUGAUGGCCUUUCCAUGCCUUGCUUUUCUCAUGUGUAAAACAGAAGUAAUAAGUGGGUUACUAAUAGACUAUAUCUCAUGAGCUUCUUGUGACCAAGAACUGAGUUAAUUCAUGUAAAGCUCUUAGAAAAGUGGCUGACAGAUAGAAUGGUGAUAGCUGAGUUUUGGAAGAAAGGAUAAAGAAACUAUCUUCUAGAACCUUUAUUUCAGCUUUUGAGAUGAAAGAGGAUUGGAAUAAUCUUAGCAGAUUGACAGCAUACAGGGCAACUGUGUUCCUAAUUCUGGUCUUGAUGAGGAUUUUGACUUUUAUGUAUUUAUAAAUACAUACAAUUAUAAAAAGAUUGUCUUUUAUGUAUUUAUAACACUAGGUGGCAGUGUUAGCACAAGAUGGGAAAUCCAGAGUAGUUUUUGUUUGUUUUUUCUUUUUUCUUCUCUUGCCUCUCCCAGAUUUAUAACUUUCUAGUCAGCUUUUGAAUCUCUGAUCAGUCCAAUAUUAGUAGUCUUAGCACAUCCCAGAGCUGAUUCCUAGCAGAGAACGGCUAAAGGAUUAACAGGAAAUUUAAAUGAUCAUUGUCUCCUAUGGGCUUGUAGCAUUGUGGAAAAGUUAAGGUGGCUUUUCUACUGUGCAGGAAUGGAUUAGGGAAGGCUUUAGUGCAGUAAGCAGUGGCCUAGAGAGACCGUGCCUCUCCCCCAGUACGCCAGCUUUGAGAGGCUGUCAUGUUUCAGGAAUCUCCAUGCUUCUUCUGCUAAUGAGCCACGUACACUUAGCAGUGAGGAUUCUGCUGCAGCCAUUUCUUGCUGACUCUCUCUGUGGGGGAGGCAAGUCUUUAUUUGCUAGAACACUUGGGUCUUGAUUUUAAAACUGCCAGUGUUUUAAAUAAAGUUUUUAUUCGUUUUAGAUUGUUUACCCGGGGCUCCUUCAAGAAAACAGUAAGCAGACUGCUGGAAUUAUCACCUGUUAAAAUGAAAUAUGCAGCUGGCCCAAGUGGGCAAAGGCAUGAGGACCACAGGGACGUGAGGGCUGCUCUUGCUUCUUCUUUGAACUGCAUGUUCAGUGUUAAUUGAGCCCAGAGAGUUCUCAUUAGGCAGAUCAACCCUUCAUUGGAUUUCAGCAUCUCUUUCUCUCUCUCCAUGCACACACACAUAUUUUUGUUCAUUCAAACCACAAAUAUUGAGUGCCCACUAUGAGCCAGGCACUGAUCUCAAAGAUGCAGAUAAGGCAGUGAACGAAACAAGUGAUGACACCUCUCUCACAGAGUUUAUAUCACGGUAUGAGACGCACAAAUAUGGCAGGUGGUAAGUGUUGUGAAGUAAAGUGGUAUAAAUGGGUAGUAAUGGGAAAUAAAGCGGAUUCCAUUUUAGAGUGACCAAGGAAGGAUUCUUGGCUAUGGUGAAGUCUAAGCAGACACCUGAAUUGCUAAAGACUGAAUGGUCCACGACCCCCCAUUCAUAUGUUAAAUCCUAAUGUUCAUUGUGGUGGUAUUUGGAGGUGGGGUUGUGGGGAGGUGAUUAGGUCAUGGGAGUGGAGCCCUCAAGAAUGAGAUUAGUGUUCUUAUAAUUGAGGUCUUAGUUGUCUUUUCCACCAUGUGAGGGCAUAGCGAAAUGACAGCCAUCUAAUAACUAGGAAGGGGUAUUUCACCAGACACUGAAGCAGUGCCCUGAUCUAGGACUUCCCAGCCUCCAAAACUAUGAGUAAUAAAUUUCUGUAUAUAAGCUACCAACACAUGGUAUUCUCUUACAACAACAGCCUGAGGGGACUAAGACAUGAAUGAAAUGAGGUAGUGAAUGUGUAGUUUAUUGGGGUAAGAACAUUUCAGAGGGUGGUGCAUACAAAUGGUCUGAGGAAAUUGGGGGGUGAGGCACUGAGGCAGGAGGGGCAGAUACAAACUGAUGGGGGCCUCAAGCUUGUGAAAAUUAGUCACCCUCUUUAAGAGGGAAUGCAAAAAUAAAUACAAGAGUAAACAUUUACGAAAGAAAAUCCCAAGAAAUUACAAAAUUGAAAAAGCUGACAAGUUGUACAAGCAUCAGAGUCUAGUUAGGGCAUUUUACCCAUUAACUGCCCGACACACGUGUAGAAUGAUUUUCCCUUACAGUUUUGGCUGUGCACUCUUUGAUUACUUCUUCAUUCAACUUUGAUGGUGUAAUACAUGUUUAUGGAGACAAUAGAUAAUUUAGUCUUUCCUUUAGCAUCAUUGAGCAAAAUAUUACUGAUGGUUUAUACAUUUCUUUCAGCUUCACACCUUUUUUUUUUGUUUCUGCCAUGUGAAUUUCCAAAGUUCUCAAAAUUGGAAAAUCUCACAAAUUUCUUUCAGAUAUGAACUGUAAGAUUUGAAAGAUUUUUCCACAAAGUGGCUUUCAGUUUUAUUCAUUUCUAUCCUUGUUUUUUUAACCUCUGACCAAAUAUUUCUAAAGCUGGAUGUUGUGGGACCACAUUCACAUCUCAUUUGACUUUUGUCUUCACUGGCACAUCAUGACAUUGUAGAAUGGGUCAGCAUGGAGGAGGACAGCCAUUUCCUGAAAGUCCUUCCUAUGCCAAGAUAGCUAACAACAUGCAGAAGUAACAAGGCACGGGGACAUAUCACACAAAUGAAAUCCUGGAAUCAACUUCUUUUUAGCUAGAUCCUCAAAAUGCCCAGGGCCACUCCACAGCUGUCUGAUAAGAGGAGGGACACUAAUGGAGGGAAAAUAGGACUGGAAAGAGACAGAGGUCUUAACUGAUUGUGGUUCAAGUAUUUCUCUUUUUUAAACUUUACCAAAUCUUAGGACUAUGUCAACACAUCACUAUACCAGUAAGGGGCCCGAAUCUUAUGCUUUAUUAAUUUCAUGGUAAAACUGUCUCUUCCAGGGUAGGAAGAUACCCCUGCCCCACUGUUAGGUCAUUAAAGGGAGAGUAGAUCCAAGAGCGUGGGAUUUGUUGAGGAGAGUGAUAUGACAAAGUUCCAGAACAUACCCAACAGGCCAUGGCAGACAGAUUUCCCAUCUUGUACAGUUGUGCUUCUCCCCAGAGGACAUGAGACUGUGGGAUAAACAUGGGAGGGUCAUUUUACUGGAUGGGUGGUGAUGGUGGUGGGUGGAGGGGAGGUGGGGUUAGGCCAUUUCACUGUUAGUUACCAUUUUCAUAUUGAAAUAUUUAAAAAAUGUCAAUCCCACUUAUAAAGUAUAUUGAUCAGAUGUGAAUUUUUAGGUCGAAAUAAUCUUCCAGAAGAAUUUUUCCUUUAAGUGGCCUGUGUUAGGGACAUGGCCAUGACCUUUCCACAGUUAGGGCUUUCUUGGUAGGAAAUUCAGAGAAGUGUACUUUGACUAGAAGUUCCAUCUUAUAAUGGCCUAUGGUCUCUUGUCCACCAGUGUGACACUGCUGAUGUCACCGGAACUGACAGGUUUUUAUUUGUUUUUUUCAUAGUCGUGGUUCUUCACACAACCUUUUUGUAUGGAUAAGGAAUAUGGCAUAGAGGUUAAGAGUGCAGGUCUUUUUUUUUUAAUGCUUAUUUAUUUAUUCUGAGAGAGAGUGUGUGAAAGGGGGAAGGGCAGAGGGAGAGGGAGACAGAGGAUCUAAAGAGAUUUGAAGCAGGCCCUGCUGUCAGCACAGAGCCUGAUAUAGGGCUUGAACCGUGAGAUCAUGACCUGAGCCAAAGUCAGAUGCUUAACCGACUGAGUCUCCCAGAUGCCCCACAAGUGCAGAUUUUGGUGCCAAAAUGUGGCUUUUCCUUGGGCUCCACUACUCACUUUCUGGAUGCCUCACCAUUCUGCUUCCUCCUCUGUAAAAUGGGGAUCAUGAAUCAUGCAGUUAUUAUGAGCAUUAACUGAAUUAAUCUUCGGCAUGAGUCAGUGCCUGGCACAAAGUAUGUAUGCUAUUUGUCAUGUCAGCUACUUGAAUGAUGUCUCCGUGUGUGACUCCUACGCAGCCUCUCCCCUUUACUUCUUAUCCAUCCUCACUGAGAGACAAGUUGUUGGCGUUCAUGGUGCCACUUCUGAAACGUGUUGGAAGGCCCAGCUAAUCAGGAUGAGGCUCGCCACCAGGCCUCAUGAAGGCCAUGGUCCACUCCCAUCAUAUUUUGAGCAGGCGUCUUAUGGCAGAAACUUUUCACUCUGAAUAAAAUCAUGUAAAAUGUGGCUGCUUAGUUUAAAUCAGAGAUGGGACGUCCAGAAGCCCACCUAUUUGUGCCCCGUCUGUAGUACUGUCCCCAAUUUAUCCUUCUACAAAUCCACAGAGUCAUAAUCCUGUGUGCCAACCGAACUUCUAGCCAAAUUGUCAGUUGGAAUGAUUUGAGUUUCUUCUCUGGGUCCUGCCCUGUGUAUUUUAUAGUUUUAGGUGGAAGAAAAUUGAGGGCUGGCUGCCCUCAUUUUAGAUUCAACUACCACUUCUUGAACAUCUAAACAUCAUGCCACAAACUCUCAUUAUUAACCUGAAAAGUGUGCAUUGUAUUUUCAGAUGCAUCUAGUAAGCCUCAGAGAGUUAAGAUCCUUGCUCACAACAGAGCCAUCAUGACUUCGAAACACUUCUUAAAAUGCUCUAGACUUUAUGCCCACCUUUUAGUGCAACUGAAAUCGGUCUCAACUUGCAUUUAUAUAAAACUCUGUUAUGUAAAAAAUUCUUUUACUUUUGAAAUGUUGGCAUUUGGUACUCAAAUAUCAUUUUUUUCUCCUCAAGUAUUUGUUCUCAAACUAGGCUUUUCCAGUUGACAAAAUUGAGUUUCUGAAGAUUAGUUGAAGACCACAGAACAAGUGAGAGACAUAACUGGGAUUCCAACCAGGUCAUCUGGCCUCAAGCCCAGGGUACCCAGCCCACCAUGACUCAGGUGAAGGUCUAAAGUCCAUACCGCACUUUCCCAUACAGGCUGCUGCUUCUCAGAGGCCCUCCGCCUUCUCCAGAUCCUCUGCUGUUGUAUGUCCUCAAGGCACACAAAGGAGAGUCCAUUUAACCCAGUGACGAAGAUACCAUUGCAAUUUCCAGUGAGCAAAUGACAUAUGUAAUGGUCCAACAUAAAGACAGUAAUGCUCCUGUUAUUAACCCAGCUCACAAGGGACCAAGAGGAAUGAAGUUAAUAAGAAGGAACAAUCUGAAAGCUCUGGCUGAAAGGUAUUAUUUAAGCCACUGGAGAAAACUAUCCAAUUAUGGAUAAGGGAGUAGAACUGAUGUAAACUUGUGGGUUUUUUCCAUUUAUGUAAAUUAAUGGUAAGAGGUCUAGAACAUACAAUUUUCUUACUUACAUUUUAUUCUUUUGCUGGUAGAUAGAAAUAAAGGCACCCAGCUGCAAAAGAAAGUUGAGAAUAGUGGGACUGAAAUAGCUAUUCUUCUUGUUUCCUUGCCCUGUAGCUAGCCUGGUCUGUUAUUCAUGCUGCACGUUCUGGCAGUGGCUUGCCCCCCCUCCACCCCACCCUGCAUGCACCCCGCCUCCCACACCAAGCAAUACCCAGUGCUCAGUGCAGUGUAAAGAUUCUUUGGAAGUUGUUUAGAUGAAUACAUAAUAAUUUUUCAUACAUUCAAAAUACUGUUUAUUCCUUGAACUCACAAGAGAGAAACUCUAAUCAUGGCAAUAUUAAGUACUAUAAUGAACCACAGGAUAGCAGAUGGGCCCUGGGGUAAACCUUUUCUGUACUAUUGAUUUACUUAUUUGGUUUCCUUGUAAAAUGUCCGUGACCUGAACCAUUGCUGCAGAAUACAAAUACAAGUUUCUGACCCAA
Long non-coding RNA from Leopardus geoffroyi (Geoffroy's cat), 7526 nucleotides. RefSeq lists it as uncharacterized. NCBI's taxonomy places the organism in Eukaryota, Metazoa, Chordata, Mammalia, Carnivora, Felidae. The record is from RefSeq and is a predicted model, not a curated record. The transcript has 4 exons.